Molecule: transfer RNA, 66 nt
Filed under: Trissolcus basalis
Lineage: Eukaryota; Metazoa; Arthropoda; Insecta; Hymenoptera; Scelionidae
Description: tRNA-Ile
Source: RNAcentral
AAUGAAAUGCCUGAUAAAAGGAUUAUUUUGAUAGAAUAAAUUAUAUAAAUAAAAUUAUUUUCAUUA